UCCUCUUUUGCAAAGAUUAUUCACUACCUGGAUAAGGGAAAUAGGGUCGACAUCAUUUACGUGGACUUUAGGAAGGCCUUUGAUUUGGUGUCUUAUGAGGCUCUCAAGGUAAAACUAGGGGACUAUGGGCUCAACCAUUCAAUGAUAAGAUGGGUGGAAAACUGGUGGCAGGGUCAAACCCAGAGAGUACUAAUAGGCGGAUCUGUGUUGA
Gavialis gangeticus (Gharial) is the source of this 211-nucleotide long non-coding RNA. RefSeq lists it as uncharacterized. Lineage: Eukaryota; Metazoa; Chordata; Crocodylia; Gavialidae. The transcript is spliced from 3 exons. The record is from RefSeq and is a predicted model, not a curated record.